This 105-nucleotide ribosomal RNA is filed under the name Listeria welshimeri. The record is from RNAcentral. Lineage: Bacteria; Bacillati; Bacillota; Bacilli; Caryophanales; Listeriaceae.
UGGCGAGAAGGUCACACCCGUUCCCAUCCCGAACACGGUAGUUAAGCUUCUCUGCGCCAAUGGUAGUUGGGGGUUUCCCCCUGCGAGAGUAGGUCGCUGCCGGGC